This 26-nucleotide non-coding RNA is filed under the name Homo sapiens (human). The record is from RNAcentral. Lineage: Eukaryota; Metazoa; Chordata; Mammalia; Primates; Hominidae.
GAUGAACUCCGGGGUCUGAGAGUGGG